This is a non-coding RNA of Alphaproteobacteria bacterium 64-6, 76 nucleotides long. Lineage: Bacteria; Pseudomonadati; Pseudomonadota; Alphaproteobacteria. The record is from Rfam.
CGCUAUUGCCCACUUCGGGCGUUUCCUCCCUAGACUUGGGCCGUUCUUUGGUGAGCGGCCCCUUUGUUCUCUAAGC